UACCAGCACCCCGAGUGGUCGGGACGUUUUAUUGGGCCUAAAGCAUCCGUAGCCGGUUCUACAAGUCUUCCGUUAAAUCCACCUGCUUAACAGAUGGGCUGCGGAAGAUACUAUGGAGCUAGGAGGCGGGAGAGGCAAGCGGUACUCGAUGGGUAGGGGUAAAAUCCGUUGAUCCAUUGAAGACCACCGUGGCGAAGGCGGCUUGCCAGAACGCGCUCGACGGUGAGGGAUGAAAGCUGGGGGGAGCAAACCGG
This 254-nucleotide ribosomal RNA is filed under the name uncultured bacterium. RNAcentral's name for it is "partial 16S ribosomal RNA". It matches the Rfam family "Archaeal small subunit ribosomal RNA", at positions 474 to 727 of the family's 1478-position model. The record is from RNAcentral.